This 20-nucleotide microRNA is filed under the name Drosophila melanogaster (fruit fly). Its description in RNAcentral is "dme-miR-4967-5p". The record is from miRBase by way of RNAcentral. Lineage: Eukaryota; Metazoa; Arthropoda; Insecta; Diptera; Drosophilidae.
UGCAUUUUCUCUCUGUUAAC